GUCCGAGGGCCAAAAGAUGCAAAUAAGCACAGAACAAUAACGCAAUCGUAUUAUAUCCUACUAAAGUGUGUUUUCAUAUGCAUAUUCAAUAACAUUUAGUAAUUUUUAUUAAUUUAUUUAUCCUUUCCUUUAUUACAACUGUCGACCUGUUUGCCAGGACUGUAGGGCGCCAGUUGUGAGUAGUGUUUGUUAACUAUUGUUAUAGUUAGAAAUUUCUAUGACAUGGUUAUGAAUCAUAAAAACUAAUUGCCUUUAUUUUCUGUUUUCAUGUAUCAUGACAGGGAGCAAGUAGAACAGAAAUUCAAAAAUUGAGGAGAAAUUUUGGAAAUGAAUAAGAAUUGGACGCAGGUUACGUAAAUAUUUUCAUUAGUAAGCUGUUUGGUUCGGCGCAGCAAAGGUAUGAAAAUUUGAAAAACCCGAUAUGAGACUCGAAAAAGUCCGAUUUAGGACUGAGGGCUGGACGCUGUAUCUCAGUGAUGUGCCUAUAAAGCAACCAAAGUGUAAGUGUGAAAAAGAAAAUUGUUAUCCCCCAUAUGUGCUGCUACCAAAAGUCAGUGUUUUGUUUUUUAUAUAAAAAGGACAUACCCUCUGUGUUCUCAUCUACUAAAAGGAGGCUCUCCAAAGCGAUUAAAAUAAUACAUUAUGUUUUAUAAACGCUAUCAUAGCGACUUGUAAAAUGUUUGAUUCUGUUCGAAACAAUUUAGGAAUGUGUAAAAUAAUUCUUCAUAGGAAAAUUUAAUUUCAAGGAAAAUUUGAAUAUUUGCUGAUGUAAAUGGUUUGAUAAAUAUUUUUUUUAAAUGUUUAAAAGGAGGAAUUUUGUACAAAAGAUAUGAAUUCUGAGAGGAAGAAGGAAAUUUUGUAAAUUAAAUUUGUUAUUCGCUAUCAAGUCCAAGCCUUUGAAAUUGGAUGUAACAGUGUAGAAAAUUGUAAUGUAGUUUUGAUAUUUUGAUCAUUUGAAAAAAAAUUUUUUAAGUAUAAACAACUUUGAUUAGAAGCCCCAUAGUUAAAUGUGUUGGUGUAGUUAAAGAGUUCAGUAAUAACAUUGCUGUUGUAAGAACCUCAAAUGCACUCAGGAGUAAUUUUAGGUUCUUAGGGGGUGUGUAACAUAGCAAGUUAUUACGAUAUAACAUUCGAUGCAGUAAGGCAAGCAGCCGUGUAGCACGAUGGCUUCAGGAUGGCUACGGUUUUUCUUCGCUCUGACUCACAGCGCAGCUGACGUUACUAGCCAUGAGAACAGUCUCAAGUAACAUUCAGUUGGUAUGCAAAUUUAUAAACCCUACGAAUGUAAAUAAAUCAUAGUAAUUAUCAUACGGUUUUGCUAAAAUUUGGUAUGCAGUCUUUUGUUAUUAAGGAAGGGAUCCUGUCAAAAUUUCAGAUUUUUAUCUAUUAUAGUUAUGGAGAUUGAGAAAAUUGCUUAAAUGUCCUAAAACCGACUCUUAUGUUUCAAAACUCAGUUAGGAACAGAAACCAAAUGUCUUUUAUUAUCGUCUGAAAUCAUAACAAAGCUCACAGUUUAUAAAGUCACUUAAUUGGAAUUUUCUUUUCAAAACUCUAAUUACUCUACAUUAUGUAAUAUAAAAAUCAUUCAAAAUUAUUAUUUGCUUAUCAUUUUGUUGUGUGAAUACAUGGGAAUGAAUGAGAGUUCACGUGGGACAUACGUUAAAACUUAAUGUCAUUUUAGGUAAAACCUUAUAAACCUGAACCUGGGAAAAUUGUGUUGCAACCACAAUGCCGAUGACAUGUGUCAAUGUGUGCUUGCUUUUGUAAGAGAGCAGCCAGAAUAAAAGCCUGGAGCAGAAAAGUUUCUAUAUUAAUUUAAAAAAUAUUUUGCAUUUAGUUCUAUUUUAUUAAACAAUAUAUUAGAAAUUGAAAUUGUAAUGGCGUAAAGGACUAUCUGAUUAGUGGUUGGCUAAGGCAAGUUUUGCCACGAGAAUGAUCUUGAAGGAUCCUUCUGAUUGGUCAUUCAGAUCAAUAGCCAAUCACUUCCGUCAUGCAGAUAGUUAGAUAGGCAGAGAGGAGAGGAGCAUUGAGAUAGUCGCUCGCUAACCUGCUUCCGAGUAACACCAUGGUAGAGGUCCCAGUGAAAAUAGCCUGUAAAAUGAAGAACUAGGGGGUUCAUUGUGUUUAUAAUGUGUCAUGAUUGUAACGGCUUAAGUUACGAACAUUUUGAUCAAAUGGUGAUAUUUCUGAAUUAAUUAAUUGAAGUUUCAUGAGCGUAUAAAAUUUUCAGCCAUAGUGACAAUUCCACGUGGCAUAUUCUGUGUUCUUUAUGGAAUACUUUGGCAAGCACUUCGGACAUAGAACACCAUUGAAAUGACUUAAUGUCCAACUGGCUAAUAAUGGUGGGUCAGUGACUGUUAGAUCGCAAAAAUUAAUCAGGUUCGGGCUUGCAGGAAUUCUGGCUGAUUUUAUGUGUGAAAUAUGUUGGAUAAACAGUGAACUUUGACUGGUAAAGCAUUUGCAUUAUUAAAUGCGGACUUGAUAGCCAUUUCAUGUGCUUCCUUGUGAAUAAAACGAGGUUAAUAGAA
Schistocerca serialis cubense is the source of this 2528-nucleotide long non-coding RNA. RefSeq lists it as uncharacterized. The transcript is spliced from 2 exons. The record is from RefSeq and is a predicted model, not a curated record. NCBI's taxonomy places the organism in Eukaryota, Metazoa, Arthropoda, Insecta, Orthoptera, Acrididae.